Molecule: ribosomal RNA, 684 nt
Filed under: Enterobacter cloacae
Lineage: Bacteria; Pseudomonadati; Pseudomonadota; Gammaproteobacteria; Enterobacterales; Enterobacteriaceae
Description: bacterial SSU rRNA
Rfam family: Bacterial small subunit ribosomal RNA
Source: RNAcentral
CUGGUCUGAGAGGAUGACCAGCCACACUGGAACUGACACACGGUCCACACUCCUACGGGAGGCAGCAGUGGGGAAUAUUGCACAGUGGGCGCAAGCCUGAUGCACCCAUGCCGCGUGUAUGAAGAAGGCCUUCGGGUUGUAAAGUACUUUCAGCGGGGAGGAAGGUGUUGUGGUUAAUAACCGCAGCAAUUGACGUUACCCGCAAAAGAAGCACCGGCUAACUCCGUGCCAGCAGCCGCGGUAAUACGGAGGGUGCAAGCGUUAAUCGGAAUUACUGGGCGUAAAGCGCACGCAGGCGGUCUGUCAAGUCGGAUGUGAAAUCCCCGGGCUCAACCUGGGAACUGCAUUCGAAACUGGCAGGCUAGAGUCUUGUAGAGGGGGGUAGAAUUCCAGGUGUAGCGGUGAAAUGCGUACAGAUCUGGAGGAAUACCGGUGGCGAAAGGCGGCCCCCUGGACAAAGACUGACGCUCAGGUGCGAAAGCGUGGGGAGCAAACAGGAUUACAUACCCUGGUAGUCCACGCCGUAAACGAUGUCGAUUUGGAGGUUGUGCCCUUGAGGCGUGGCUUCCGGAGCUAACGCGUUAAAUCUACCGCCUGGGGAGUACGGCCGCAAGGUUAAAACUCAAAUGAAUUGACGGGGGCCCGCACAAGCGGUGGAGCAUGUGGUUUAAUUCAAUGCAACGU